AGCGCAGGCGGACCGGCAAGUUGGAAGUGAAAACUAUGGGCUCAACCCAUAAAUUGCUUUCAAAAACUGCUGGCCUUGAGUAGUGCAGAGGUAGGUGGAAUUCCCGGUGUAGCGGUGGAAUGCGUAGAUAUCGGGAGGAACACCAGUGGCGAAGGCGACCUACUGGGCACCAACUGACGCUGAGGCUCGAAAGCAUGGGUAGCAAACA
This 208-nucleotide ribosomal RNA is filed under the name uncultured bacterium. RNAcentral describes it as "partial 16S ribosomal RNA". It matches the Rfam family "Bacterial small subunit ribosomal RNA", at positions 568 to 774 of the family's 1533-position model. The record is from RNAcentral.